Long non-coding RNA from Eriocheir sinensis (Chinese mitten crab), 7050 nucleotides. RefSeq lists it as uncharacterized. The record is from RefSeq and is a predicted model, not a curated record. NCBI's taxonomy places the organism in Eukaryota, Metazoa, Arthropoda, Malacostraca, Decapoda, Varunidae. The transcript is spliced from 3 exons.
AGUCGACUGGUCGGCUGCUCGCCCGUGCACCGCUACGUGUGUCUAGUACUGUCUACUGGGCGCCUGCCCGGAGAGCCCGUGCCUCCGUCGCUGCUCGACGGCUGCUACUCGUGUGACGUGUCUGUGGCGGCGGCGGAGGUAUCCCCACACCCGUAACGAGCUUGCAUUGCUUGCUCCCCCGAAAGACGAGCAGCGCAGGGCGAGGAGGUGCCGCGGUAGCGCGGAAACGAGGCCGGCUGUGGGGCGACUGGCGGGCCGCGGACGACUUGUGGCCGCUCAGUGUUUCGAUCAGUGGACCGAGUGAUGGGUCGAAUCAGUGACGUGAACCAGAACACAAAGCCAAGAAUUGGACAAACAAGCAGCAGAUAUCACUGAAAAAGAGAAGUAGGAAGAAAGGAAGGAGGGAGAGGACAAGGGUGUAAAGUCUGAACUGGGGCUGACAGAAGAUAAAGAGACAAUACAAUGGUGAGUUAUUUGAAAACAUUCUUGCUUGAAAUCCGGAAAACAGGAGGAUACAAAGGAAGACCUGUGAGAAAGACUUAAAAAGCAACACAAAGUGUUAACAGGUAUAAAGAUCACACAAAAAUAUUAUUUCUUGUAUACGUAUAUGCCUUUGGAUAAUAUAUGUUAACUGGAAUAUCUUAGAAUUUUAUAUUGCAACUUAAAUAUUUUAUAUAAAAGAUAUUUAUAUUUGAUUUAAUGCAACAUUCAAUAAACACAUACUGUUUCAGAAACACAAAAAUAAAUACAGAGAAAAUAGAAUGAGAAACAAGCAAACCUCUAAGAUUCACUAGACUUGUGUUUACUCUUUGUAACAUCUCACCAGCUUCACCAAGAAUCUUGGGUGACUGGCCAUCACCAUCUGCCUGUGGUGAAGGGACUCAUGGGACACUCCAGCCACACACUCACUGCCCCAGCUCAGACACCAGUCAGCUGACACACAGUAGUGAUGCUGCUGCUUCUUUGUCACUGUCCAUCAUCAUCAGUUUAAUGUAUUACCUUAUCCUUAUAAGAAGCAAAAGGAUCCUUCAGCAUUGGUGGGGUGACGGGAUGAAACAAAAAUUAGUAUGAUGUCUGUGCAAACAAUACAACUAUCUACAAGGGGUAGGCUACUUGUUCUCUUGCUGCCAAAUUAGUGUGACUAAACUAAAUGCAAGACUUAAUUGUACAUGGACUUUUGUGCCUGAGAAACAUAUUACAUUUCGCCGUGUGAAAGAUAAAUAGAGAUGCAAGUAACAUCUGAUUGCAUCGGAUAAAAAAAUAAAAAAAUAAUAAAACUGCUGAUUUUCUACAUCCUCCAAAACUUCAUUAUUAUUAUUAUUAUUAUUUUUUUUUGUAGAACCAGUUAGGGAAUGCUUGCUUUAUGUCCUCUUCAGUUUCACCAGCCAACAUAUCCCUGGGUAAAAUUGUUUGGCCCAGUGAGUGUGGCAAAGUGACUUCCAGUCACUGUCACCACUUUGCUAAUGCUCCUCCUAAACAGUUACCUCCAUGUGGGUGUUGUGGCCAUUCACGUACAGUAACUGCCACUUUGUGGAGCCCUGCAUUCGUGACUCAAGACCUAUGCAUAGCACACAAAGUAGCUUCAACUCAGUGGUUAUUUUCAAUAUAUAAUGAAUAUCUGUGGGACUUACUUAUAACCUUACUAUGCCUCUAAAUAUAUAUAAAAAAUGUUUUAAUGCUUGUUAGAACUUAGUAUGCUGUGGCGACUAGCAUGCUUUCAAAUAUGCAUAACAUUUAUGUGUAUAAAUAUUUUAUAGUACAGAACUCAUAACAACAGCAAAGUUUCUGUACAUAAGAGAAUAAGUGACUAAUUACUUAUGUUCAAGCAGAAACAUUAUUUGCCAGCAAAUAUGUCUUGUUUAAUGUACUCAUAUUGUCCUUGAUGCAUUCCAUACUCUAAGUGCAAGGACAGGCACAAAGAAUUUAUACCAGGUAGAAACUGAGUUCCUGCAGUUGCAUGAAAGCCUUUGGCUGCUGAAAAACAGAUCAGCACUUAAAUAUGCAUGCGAUAAAAUCUUUGAUGGUUAUAGAACAAAACAUCUGUGAUACAUAACAUCACUGCUUUCUCCUACACUCUGUACUUCCGAUGACUUUUUUUAAAUCUUUCUCAGUAUUCCUUCUUAAGUGUCUUCUUUAAGGUGAUGGUGGGCUUUGCAGGAAGAGAGGUCAGGUUAGAGCUACAGUUUGUAAGUCACAAAAGGGACGGACAUAAAAGUGAAAUUACUUUCCCUUCCAAGAGUAGAGAACAUCACCUAACACUUGCCUCUAUACACCAAGUGCACACACACACACACACACACACACACAGGCACACUACUCCUUGUUGCACAAAGUAAUGCUCCAAAACAUGUUUCAGUCUUAUGUACAGUGAAUAUACAAGAUAAAUGGAAAUCAUGAUACUUUCAACACAAAAUCUUAAGUGAUAGUGAAGAGAGAUUUCAUUGGAAUAUAGAAAAUAUAUAAGAAAACCAUAUUGCACCAAAAAAAAUACUUUGCAUACAUGAAUGACAAAAAAUCACCAACAAAGUGGUAUUUGUAAAUUAUUCAACUCCAGCAUUUAUGUGUAAAUUAAUAGGGCUCCCUAAUACAUAUAAUUAAAAAUAUAUCGUUAAUAUACUUUAAAGUCACAGUAAUCUUAGAGGCAGUCCCUGCACUGAUACUCUUGUGUGUAUCCACAACAUCACCUUCAGCAUGGGAGAACAGUCUGCCCCUUGCACACAGGCCAGGGAAUGAAGGAAUGACGGCAAUGCUCUGCCUUUGAGGCCUUUAGUGGGUGCGUGCUAGAUGUCAAACUGUUGGUAGUUAUGGCAGCAUUCAAGUCAAGUCACUGGCUGCAGCAAACAGAUAUUCAUUACUAAGGCUUAACACAGUGUCAUGGCUCUUCCAAGGUGCCUUCUGACUCUCCUCUCCCACAAAGAUUAUCUCACAUGCUUUAUGAAAUUAGAGCAAAUUCAGUGAUGCCAAAACAAUACCAUGUGUUGCAGCUUAUUUCCAACUAUUGAUUUUGUCCAGGGUCACUCAUGCUUCUUAGGCUUUGUGAGCCUUGAUGGAAACUGGAAGCCUGUGUCAACUUGAAUAAGUACACCAGUUUUACUCUAAAAUAAUGUCUCCUUAAGACAAAGCUGAACAGUGCCUUCUGAAUAACAGCUCUGAUGCACUUGGAGCUGUAGGAGAAAUUUGUUGCUGUAAUCCUUUCUAUAGAGUAAAUUAUUCUUUUGCACAGUGGUGCAGCAUGGGAGAUGUGUGUAUGUGACUUAUUGCAUUAAUAUACUAUAGGAAAUGAAGACAGUUAUGUCUCCCUCUACCCAGGGAACACACACACACACACACACACACACUCACACAUGUCUAAAUGUAACAUCAAUACAUCAUUCACUACCUAUACCAGAUAAUUUGCAUCAGACUUUGUCAGGCAGCAGGUCCUAAGAGCAUAAACAAAUUGAAACAAUAAAGCUAACAGUCUGAACAAGAUAAAAAUUAUGUACAUUUUCUUAGUCUCCAAAACAAGAAUGAAUACUAUGCCUCAAAUAAUGCACCAUACCUUGAUGUUAUGUAAGGCAACAUACAUAAAUGAUGCUCGUGUGCAUCAUGGUGUGGUAUGAAAAAUAUGUUCAUGGAAUUGAAAGUACACAAACAGUGUAUGAUUGCAUUAGGCAUCUGCACUCAGAAGUAAAGCUGUAAAUCUGAGGACCACUCAGGCAUAAUUCACACAGUAUAGUAUGGAAAUACAGUGUGUCCGUAUCUUUUGUCCAAACAUGGCCAGUAUUUUGAGAACCAUUCCUGACAUUUAUAGAUAAAUGAAUGAGUGUACAUUUUCUUAUCUAUAUGACAUACCUGAUUAACAUUUCAUACACAGCUGCUAAACUCAUACAAAUACAUAUUUGUCACAGAUAAAGAUGUGCUUGUCAUGUUUGCCUUUACCAUGAGAAGAAUGAACAAGUCAUACAAGUGAUAUGUGCACUGAUGUGGGCAGCAAGUCAGGCAUUCACAGUUCUUGUAGUUAGUGUGCACCAACAACGUGGCAUGAGGCCCCUGAACAGUCAAGAAACAACCAAACAACCAGCUGCCAGGCCUCACCACACACCACCGGCCUCACUCACCAUGCUCACCCCCCUCCCACAUUACCACCAUCAACUUUCUGGAACAUAUCCUGGUGGUGAUGCCUCACGACCAUUGCAAUGAUGCUGUGAUGUGGGGCUAUUUUCAUACAAUAUGUCUUUACCACUUACAAAAAAAUAAAUAAAUAAAUAAAUAAAUAAAUAAAUAAAUAAAUAAAUAAAUAAAUAAAUAAAAUAAUAUAAAAUAAAAUAAACAAAUAAAUAAUUUCAAUAUUAAACAAAUAUUUUAAACAAGAAUAAACAACAAGUAAAGACCAUUACUACUUCCUUGCUGGACAGAAAAGAAAAAGAUUUUUGGCUCUUUCUCCAUCAGUGGUAAAAACAAGUUUUGAGGGAGUUGAGGUAUGGAUAUAAAACACUAAAUUGCGCCACAGCUACAAAGUUAGCUACCUAUGAAGUGCAGUGGCUGGCUUCUGAUUCCAGACUUAAGCAACUGCUAAUUGGAAAUUUCUGGCAACAAAGCAUUCUAGCAGAGGUGGAUGAAGAGUUUGUAGGGCCCUAAGCCAUUACUAUAUCCUGUCUGUUUAUGAUAAGAGCUUUAGACCACAGGAAAUCCUGGCACUUCACUGGAGGGAGAUAGUCUAAACAGAUUAUUAUUAUUAUUGGAGCCAAGGGCCUGAUCAUAUAAAGUGUUUGAAAAUUAAGGUCUUUGGGGCUGCAUUAUUAACAUUUCUGUAAUUUUGUAAUGGGCACACGGCCCUAGGUCAUGGCCUGCUUGAUUGAGUUACUCUGGCCCUGCAUUCUAGAGUAUCAUGGCUGAACACUGAAACUGUAAUAUUCUGAGAGCCACUUAUGCACUGCAGCUCUUUCUAUUUAAAAAAUAUAGAUGUAAUUGUACAUAUGAAGGUAUUUGCUGAUUUUACUAAACCUCUAUCUGUGUACAAUGAUGUAAGCAGGAUCUGAAAAUAGUUUAAAUGCCAGUGGAAUUAGAAUUAGCCUUAUAUCCUCACAGAGGAUAAAAGUUAAAUGAGAAAAAAAACUAUCAUCUAAAUUCAUUGAAGGCAUCAAGCCGGCAGACUCAAUUCCCACCUUUCUGGAUUCUGCAGCCCAGAGCAGUAUGGUAUAGUAAUGAUAUUUACAACUCCCAGUCUAAUGUAAACAAAUAGCCAAAUGAGCUUAAAAGUAUGGAGAACUAAAAUGCUCUACAAUAUUGUUUUCUCUAUAUGGCACUAGAAGAAAGUCUACAGAAUGUGAUUGGAAUGUUACAAACAGAAAAUUAAGGAAUGAAGAACAACACAAAAAGAAGGCAUAGUGAAAGACCAAACAAACAAACAAACACACACACACACACACACACAGAGUGGCCACCAAGUGGAAUGGACAUGAGAGUGAGUGCCUCUGGAUUUUUGGAGAGGAUACGGGCUUACUCACAGCCUACAAGCCUAGGAUGUAGUUGUGGGCUUGGACGGAUGCAUUAGUACUGUCCCAUCUCAAGUAAGUGCAGCUUGAACACGUAUAUAAUGUGAAAAUGGAGAAAGUGCUGGGUCAGUCUGAUUAAAGAGAACGAUGGGUUAGUGUGAGAUGCUGCUGAAAAGAAGAAAUGCAUUGUUGCCUCCAGUAAUGUAUGCAAUUUUUAUCAAUGAAAUGACGGUGGGAGUGAACAGUUACAUGAGUUUGUUUGCUGAUGAUGCCAAGUUUCUUAGGAAGAUCAGAAGUGAAGGGCAUUGUCAAGCACUUCAACAGGACCUGGACAGGAUAUGGGAGUUGAGUCAUAGAUGGUAAAUGGAAUUUAACAUCAGAAAGUGCAGUGUGAUGGAAUUCAGAAAAGCAAAAAGAGAAUUUCAGGUACACAAUGGGAAAUGAAAACAAUAAGAAAGCAUUAAUGAAAAAGGACCUGGGAGUAACUGUAUUGGAUAAUUUGUUGCCAUAGAAACACAAAAUAGAAUUGCAGGUGAGACACACAAUCUGGUGAGAAUCUUUAAAGUUGCUUUUCAAUAUUUGGAUGAGGUAAUGAUGAAGAAACUGAUUGUAACCAUGAUAAGUCCAAGGGUGGAAUACGCAGCAUCAGUACCAGUAUGGUCACUGAGUACAAAGUCAAAUAUAAGGAAAGUAGAGGAUUCAGAGGGCAGCAAUAAAAUUGGUUCCAGGACUAAGAGAUUUAACAUAUGAAGAGAGAUUGAAGUGGUUGAGCUUACCAACACUGGAACAGAGGAAGGAGAGAGGAGAUCUGAUUGUGGUGUACAGGGUGCUGCACGGGAUGGAUAAAGUGGACAAGGAAGGUCUAAUAACAUGGGAUACAAGAGAAUCAAGAGGUCAUGGAAGGAAGAUGAAAAAGGAAGCCUGUAGAAGAGACAUUAAGAAGAAUAGCUUUCCACAAAGAGUGGUGGAGCCCUGGAGUGCCCUGGAAAAAUGUGAUUCAUGAAUUUAAGGCCAAGUUGGAUUAUAGUAGACAUAGAGAUAGGGAAGUACGAGCAUAGGUCCUUUCCCAUAAACCACAACUAGGUAAACACACACACACACACACACACACACAGUAGUUAGCACGGUUGGGUCACAACUUGGUCCCAGGCUCGGUUCCCAGAUGGAGUGGAAACAGAUGGGCAGUCUCCUUUAAUCCACACUCCCUCUCCACCCAGCAGUGAAUGGGUAUUGAGUGUAAGUCUGGGGUUGUGGUCCGCCUCUCGGGUGUGUGUCAGUGUGAUGUGAGGUUCCAGCUGUACCAAAAAAUCUGCAACUUCAGCUCCAAGCUUGUUUGAGGAAGUUACUGGCUGGUAAUUGCAAGUCUAGUGUGUGAUCAGGCUAUGGUGAAUGACCAUCUUAUGGCACCAAGCUUGUCAAUAAAGUUUAUGAAACUUUCUCUACUAAAGAACAUUCAGUAAACUAACAACGUAUAUGCUUGCAGCAACAACUAAAUAUACAUAAAUUAAUCAAUGAAAGUCUAAGCCUGACUGGAAUGUGUUGUGAAGCUUGGUUGAUGAUGAGGUGUGCCAGA